UGCGGGUGCUAUCAUGCAGUCUAGCGGCAGAUGGGAGCUUGCUCCCUGAUGUUAGCGGCGGACGGGUGAGUAACACGUGGGUAACCUGCCUGUAAGACUGGGAUAACUCCGGGAAACCGGGGCUAAUACCGGAUGGUUGUUUGAACCGCAUGGUUCAGACAUAAAAGGUGGCUUCGGCUACCACUUACAGAUGGACCCGCGGCGCAUUAGCUAGUUGGUGAGGUAACGGCUCACCAAGGCGACGAUGCGUAGCCGACCUGAGAGGGUGAUCGGCCACACUGGGACUGAGACACGGCCCAGACUCCUACGGGAGGCAGCAGUAGGGAAUCUUCCGCAAUGGACGAAAGUCUGACGGAGCAACGCCGCGUGAGUGAUGAAGGUUUUCGGAUCGUAAAGCUCUGUUGUUACGGAAGAACAAGUGCCGUUCAAAUAGGGCGGCACCUUGACGGUACCUAACCAGAAAGCCACGGCUAACUACGUGCCAGCAGCCGCGGUAAUACGUAGGUGGCAAGCGUUGUCCGGAAUUAUUGGGCGUAAAGGGCUCGCAGGC
Molecule: ribosomal RNA, 550 nt
Filed under: Bacillus amyloliquefaciens
Lineage: Bacteria; Bacillati; Bacillota; Bacilli; Caryophanales; Bacillaceae
Description: bacterial SSU rRNA
Rfam family: Bacterial small subunit ribosomal RNA
Source: RNAcentral